This 253-nucleotide ribosomal RNA is filed under the name uncultured bacterium. Its description in RNAcentral is "partial 16S ribosomal RNA". It matches the Rfam family "Bacterial small subunit ribosomal RNA", at positions 519 to 771 of the family's 1533-position model. The record is from RNAcentral.
GGUAAUACGUAGGGGGCGAGCGUUGUCCGGAUUUAUUGGGCGUAAAGGGCGUGUAGGUGGUUUGUUAAGUCUGAUGUGAAAGCCCUGGGCUCAACCUGGGAAUGGCAUUGGAUACUGGCAGGCUAGAGUGCGGUAGAGGGUAGUGGAAUUCCCGGUGUAGCAGUGAAAUGCGUAGAGAUCGGGAGGAACAUCUGUGGCGAAGGCGACUACCUGGACCAGCACUGACACUGAGGCACGAAAGCGUGGGGAGCAA